UAAUGAUCAACGCUUGACCAAACCAAGUUUUCUUGCUUCCUGCAGCGUAUUUGGUCCAAAGGUAUCAUGCAUCAACACCUGAUCCAUCUCUCUAGUUGUCUUGCUGGGGCAGGACCUGUGAAUUUGAAGUCUAGUUGUUUGAGCAUAUCACUUAGGUCUGUGUGCAAAUAAGGCCAAUCAUUUCUCUCAGUAUACCACACCUAUAAAUUUGACACAGUUAUCGAUUAAAUCUAUUAAUUGCUUGUGUACCAUCAGUGGAUCUGAAUCAUUCUCAAAAUCGAUUUUCCGAUGGUACAAGUGGAAUUGAAACCCUGUCGUCAAACCCUAAAAUUGCCUACGAUCACCGAUAACAUGGCCAUGAUGGCCGUUGGCCAGCCUCCGGUGGAGGUUAGGUCAGCAGCACUUACUGCGACUAAAGAACCUGCGAAAGUAAUGUAUGCGAAUACCAUAAAACCACAAUACAAACCUAUACCAUUGAAGCAGAUAACGUAUUUACAUGGGGAGCCAAGAAUUGUUUGGGAAGAGGAGGAGGUCAGUCAAAUGAUUAUUAACAAGGACUUGCAAUAUGCAGUGAUAUGGAAAUUUUCAUAUGGUUGGCCAGAAAUACAAGAUCUCAGGAGGUUAAUCCCUAGGCAAUGUGAAUUGAAAGGGGAAGUGAACAUUGGAUUGCUGAGUAAUAGAUACAUAUUAAUAAGGGUGACGAGGCUGGAUGACUUCGUGAAUCUACUGUCAAAGCCACAGUUUUACAUUACACAACUAUUAGUCACAUCCAAUGCGCACUCUAAACUGGGAUCCAUUGUUUGAUCCAGCGGAUGAAACAUCAAUAGCGAUAACAUGGAUUUUCUUUCCAUCAUUACCAUCAAUUUUCUUGGGAAAGAAGCAGUUUUCUCGUUGGCAGUAGUUGUAGGUAAACCCUUGCAAGUAGAUGUAGCCACACAAAAUAAAACCAGGCCAAGUUGUGCAAGUGUCAAAGCGAAAGUCGACUUAUUAGGGGAAUUUCCAAAGAGGAUUAAUGUGGGUAUGAGAAUGAAAUCAAGAGAAGUCAAGGAAAAGUGGGUGACUAUAAGAUAUGAUUAUGUGCCAAAAAAUUGUAAAACAUGCAAACUUCGGGGACACAAUGCGAAGGAGUGUUUUAUCAUUCAUCCAGAGUUAUACCCUAAAGAGGAGGAAGAAGAAAACAAGGAAAAUAAGGAAGACGAUAAGAAAAAAGGAAAUCUAGCAGGAGAGAAGAAAGAAGGAAAUGACACCACAAAAGAAGAUAAAGGAAAAACAAAGCAAGGAGAAAAUACAGAAUUCCAGGAGCAAAAGAGGAAAAAAGGGUCCAGAAAAGGAAGACAGAAUCAUAGAGGAAGAAUGGAGAUGAGAUGGAAUUUGAGACCCUAAAAUAAGGAGCAAGAAGUUUUGACUGGUAAUAAAUUUGGGGCAUUGGAAGAGAACAUAAGGGGUGUUUGGAUGAGCGUUUUUUUUUAAGUGACUUAAAAGCUAAAAGCAAAAAACCUACUUUUGGCCUUUUUUCUUUAUACUUUUUAAGCCUAAAGUAAAGUGCUUAAAAGCAUUUUUUAUUUUUGCCAAACACCUCCAAAAAUAAAAAAAGUGUUUAAAAGCCAAAAACACUUAAAAAUAAGCCAAUCCAAACAUCUUCAUAGAAGGGGAUAAAGAGGAAAUGAUGGAGAAAGAGAGAGUAACAGAAAUCAAGAAAAAUACUAAAGAUAAAGAGGCAAACAAAGAGGAUAAGGACAGAGACAUGGAGAAGGACUCUGUCAGUUCUAUGGGAUCCAACAGUAAAAGCAAACAAAAUGAAACACAAGGGUCAGUUGUGAAGAAUACACCCUAUGAAGAGAAGGUGAAUACCUUAGUACAAUUACAGUAGUCACCGGAGAAGUCAUCACAAGGUGUAGUGGACAUGCAAGAGAGAACAAUUCAGAUCAAACACAGAAGACACCAGAAAAGGCAACACAAGAUGAAGUGGAACUGGCAAGGGAGGAGGAAAUAAAGUCACCACUAUUUAUAUGACAGUGACAGGACAAUAUGAAUAUAGAAUAGAUGAAGGAGGAGGAGAAUCAGGGACUGAGAUUCCUUAAAUUAACACAUAUACUAAUCAAGAAAUCAAAGAUAAGUAAAGCACAAAUGACAAUAUGGAAGUUAAUGUAGAAGAAGUGAGACUUGUCGCCAAGGCAAAUAGGGCAGCUCAGAGGAAAGAAUAUAAAGGGGUCAAAACCUACAUUGCCCCAGUCACAAAUGAAUACAAGGAGGAAGAAGGUUUCAUCUUUUACCUCUGAUCAAUGAUUAACAAGGUAUUUUUUUGGAAUAUCAGGUCUGUGAGGACUCAAAAUGCUUUUGAGAAACUAAUGGAUCUGUAUAGGAGACAUCAUUACUCUUACAUUGCUAUAUUCGAACCUUUUCAAAGCCCAAGUGAAUAGGAGAAUUAUAGAAGAAAAUUGGGGAUGCUUAAUGCUAGAGUCAAUUCUUUUGCAAAAAUAUGGAUUUUUUGGGAAGAUUAUCGGGAGGAAAAAGACUGUAUAAAUACAAUUCAACAGAUUACAAUGACCUUUCAACUAAGGGGAGGAGCUGUGUUUCAGGGUGACACCAGUGUAUGCAAGAUGCAAUGCUUUAGAAAGGCUGGAGCUUUGGGAUGAUUUGGAAAUUGUUGCAGAUCAAACUAGCAUUCCUUGGUGGUAGGAGGAGAUUUCAACACUAUUGCAGAUGAGUCACAGAAAUUGGGAGGCUUAUCAGUUGCUCAGCAAGAAACUACAGAUUUUACAUACUGCAUGAACGCUUGUUCUCUAAAUAAACUAAAAUUCACCGGAAGUUGCUAUACAUGGUGGAAUGGUAGAAUUGCAGAGGAAAGCAUCUUCAAAAGGCUUGAUGGAGUUUUGGGAACAAUGAGUUUAUGCAAAAACUCCCCAACAGUGAGGUGCACCAUUUGAUUAGACAAGGGUCAGAUCAUGCGACGCUGCAUGAGUUAUGCAAUACAUCAGAGGAACAGGUGCUUAAGCCUUUCAAAUUUUUGAAUUUCCGGGCAAAACAUAAAGAUUUCAUUAAAGUGGUGGAGGAAAACUGGAAUGAAGAGGUGAAAUGAGGAAAACCGGAAUGAAGAGGUGACGUGGUCUCCAUUUACUAUUGUGCAUUCCAAAAUGAAGAAGGUCAAAACUAAUUUGGCACAGUGGAGUAAAAAGACCUGUGGGAAUAUUUUUUAGAGAAUAGCCACUUUGGAGGACAUUGUUAAAUCCAAGGUAGUGCAAUUAGAAGUGGCACCUACGGAGAAAAAUAGAAGUGAGCUUAAGCUUGCAGAAGCUAACUUGAAGAGAUUUUUGAACAUGGAGGAGGAAUAUUGAAGGCAGAAAGCUGGAAUGAAAUGGCUCAUUUCAUGCCUAUGUGAAAGAAAGAAGGAGAAAGAUGCAGAUUAAUGAAAUUCAAACAAUGCAAGGGGACAUGAUCAGCACCUUGCGAACAUUGGAGAAGAAGCUGUUAAUGCCUUUAAGGAGCAGUUCAAGGAAAACGUGGAGGCAAGCAACUAUGACAUGCUCAAAUGUAUCCCGCAAUUGAUUAAGGGGAGGAGAAUGAAGAAAUGGGGAGCAUGCCAACCAUAGAGGAGGUUAAAGAGGUGGUUUUUUCACUAAAUUCUGAUAGUGCUAGUGGACCUAAUGGUUUCUCAAGGCAGUUUUUUCAAUCAAGUUGGGAGAUCAUUGGUAAUGACAUACUAAUAUGGUAAAGGCAUUCUUUUGUGGGUGUGAAUUACCAAGGUAUGUGACUCACACUAAUCUGGUACUUAUUCCUAAAAAAGAGGUGGUCUAGAAGUUUGGUGACCUGAGACCUAUUAGCCUAAGCACCUUUACUAAUAAGAUUAUUUCAAGAGUGCUUCAUGAAAGGAUAGUUAAGCUGCUGCCUAGGCUAAUAUCACAAAACCAUCUGGUUUUGUGAAGGGCAAGAGUAUCACAGAAAAUGUGUUGCUAGCACAAAAGAUUAUAAGGGACAUUAACAGGAGGAAUAAGAUACACAAUGUAGUGGUAAAAUUGAACAUGGCUAAGGCAUAUGAUAGAGUCUCAUAAAAGUUCCUGGUUAAGUUAAUGAAGAGCUUUGGAUUUAUCAUAGAAGAUCAUUGAUUUGAUAGUGAGGCUUAUAAGCUGUAACUGGUAUUCAGUUUUUAUGAAUGGACAAUCAUUUUUUUUUUUCCAAUCAUCCAGAGGCCUCAAACUGAUCCUUUAUCACCUACCUUUUUUAUUAUUGCAGCAGAGGUUCUUGCAAGGAAUUUGAAUGAGCUUUUUGAAGAUCCUGAGUACAAAGGGUAUGGUUUGCCUAAAUGGAGUCCAAAAAUCAAUCAUUUAUCCUAUGCAGUUGAUACCAUUUUAUUUUGUUCAGGCCAUUUGACCUCCAUGAAGUAAAUGAUGAAAGUAUUGAGAGAAUAUGAGAUAGUAUUAGGACAAAUGAUUAAUUUAGAGAAGAGUUCUGUAUAUCUACAUGAAAAAGUUUCAAUUGGAGUAAGCAAUCAAAUAAAAAGGAUUGCAGGAGUAAAACAAGGAUCCUUUCCUUUUUUCUACCUUGGAUGCCCUUUGUUUUAUGGGAGAAAGAAUAAAAGACAUUUUGAAUAACUGAUCAAGAAAGUUAUGAAAAGGCUGAGUUUGUGGCAGAAUAAACUUUUGUCAUUUGGAGGUAGGUAUAUCGUGAUAACACAUGUAUUACAAUCUAUGCCUGUCUACCUAUUGUCAGCAUUGAAUCCUCCCAGCAUGUGUUAUAAACGAGUUGCAUAAAAUUUUUGCUCGAUUUUCCUGAGCAAAUGCUACUCGUUCAAGAAACAAUCAUUGAGUUUCAUGGGAAACAUGUGCUAUCAUAGGGAAGGAGGAAUAGGGUUCAGAUCAUUACGUGUAGUCUCAAAGGCUUUCUUUGUUAAGUUAUGGCGGAAUUUCAGAGUCUCCACAUCAUAGUGGAAUAAAUAUUAAAAGAAAAUGUCACCCUAUAAUGGUGAGAGGCUUUGGAGCCUCUCAUGUGUGGAGGCAAAUGGUUGAAGUUAUAGAGGAGGUGGAACACAACAUAUGAUGGCAGGUGAAAGCAAGCAUCUCUAGUUUCUGGUUUGAUAAAUGGACCAAACAUGGAGCCCUUUACCAUGUAGAGGGGGACAAUGUAGUUAAGGAGGAACUGGAGUUAAGGGAGUCUUGUAGAGAGGGAAGAUGGGACGAAGUGAAACUAAGGAGUAAGCUGUCAGAGAAGAUGACAAAUCACAUCCUGGAAAAUAUAAAGCCUCUCACAGAGUUGGAGACAAAUGAUACACCUUGGUGGAUGGGGAAUUCUCAAGAAAAAUUUACAGUCAAGGCGUCAUGGGAAAUCAUGAGUCAAAAGUAAGAACAGAAAGAAGAGUACAAGCAGAUUUGGGUUAAAGGGUUACCUUUAAUGAUAAACAUUUUCAUGUGGAAGGCUUGGAAGGGAAGGAUGGCCACAUUUGAUAACAUGAAAAGAAUGAGAAUCAAUAUUGUAUCUAGAUGCUGGUGCUGUGAGGAGAAAGAUGAGGAGACAAUGGCCCACUUAUUUCUAACAACCCCCAUAGCCACUAGACUAUGGAGGCAGUUUGCUAUUUUUGCAGGAAUAGACAUUGAAGACAUGCAUUUGCAGCAAAUCAUCUCCACCUGGUGGACAAUGAAUGCAACACUAAAACUAGAGGCAGUAUACAAAGCUAUCCCAGCAAUCAUAAUGUGGACCAUAUGGAAGAGAAAAAAAUGCAAUAAAGCAUGGUGGGAAAGUAACAUGUAUGGAAAUGGUAUGGCAGGCUCAGGAUCUAAUUAGAAAGCUGAUAAAAUGUUACAUCCCUGGAUUAGGAUAGGAAAGGAGUGUUGGCCUCACAUUGUUAUUAAGUUGAGGGAAUACAAGCCAAAAUUACACUAUUAAAGUGUCAUAACAAGCUCAAAUGUAACACAGAUGGUGCAAGUAGAGGCAGUCCAGGAUUGAGUGCCUUUGCCUUCUACAUUAGAGAUGAAAAUGGUCAUAUGGUCCUUGCUAGAGCUAAAGGAAUAGGAGUUGCCACACACACAGUAGCAGAAAUGAAGGCUAUUCAGGAGGCUUUGUAAUUCAAACAAGAGGAGCUAGGGAAGUAACUUUAGAGACAGAUUCUCUUAACUCUAAAGAGUGAUAGACAGACGGGUGGAAAGAGCCAUGGGAACUAAUUGAUCAUAUAGAAGAUAUAAGGUACAGACUACAGUUAACCCAAGCACAAAUCAAGCACACAUUCAGAGAAAGGAACACAGUAGCAGAUGCAUAGGCAAAUGAAGUAAUUGCUACACAAAACUCGGUGGACUAUCAUAGUUUCUAUGAGUUAUCAACAACAAUUAGAAAGCAAAUAAACAUGGAUAAGACUCAAAUCCUCAAUUUCAGGAUUCAGGCAAGGAAAAUUAACACUAAAGCAUAAAAAGAGAAGCAUGCAUAGGAUUGAGAAGCAGUCACACAGCAUAAAAAGAGCUACAACGGAUCCCGAUAAUUACAAUGCCAUGGGAAUCAGGAAUAAACAUGAGCACAAAGAUAAGUCUAGCUAAGUCUAGCUAGAUGCCCUACCUGGCAAAAACCUUCACCAAAAAAAGGGAUAGAUGGAGCUUCCCUCCACAGCAACUAAGUCUUGACAGCGACAUGAAAGAGAAUAGCAAUGACACAACAAUAUUUGCAUAAAGCAAGACACAAUUCAGAGAUUGAAGAGUUAAAAUAUGAGGAAGUGGACAAAAGAGGAGAAACAGUAGGUGUUUGGAUUGACUAAUUUUUAGGUGCUUUUAGCUUUUAAGCACUUUUUCAGUUUUGGUGGUGUUUGGCAAAGUAAAAAAGUGCUUUUAAGCACUUAUUUUUAAGUCAAAAAGUGUCAAAAUAAGCCACAAGCCAAAAGCCAAAAGCCAAAAGCCAAAAGUAGGGUAGUACCAACUUAUGGCUUUUGGCUUUUCGCUUAUAAGCUCCUUAUUAAAAGCCAAUCCAAACAGGCCCAUAAUCGACUUACGAAGCUUCAAGAAUCUGAACAUUGACAUCACAUUACUUCAGUACCUUGGGGAUAAACCCUGACCACCUGAAAAGAAGAGCAGAGGGUCAGAUCUGAGCUACAAAAGCAAAUUGAGAGGAGAGAAAGUGAGCUCACCAGAUGCAAGUGAAGAUGAUAGACAGAGCAUAACCAUCAGUAAGCAAGGAUGGAGCUUGAAGAUGAUACAAAGGAGGUACAAGAUGAACUGCCGAUUCAAGCUUGGAUGGCACAUCCCACAAAGGCGGCGAUGAAGAGUACCGAGUACUCUUGGACAACAAUGAAUAUUUUUACUACUUUUAGGAAACUUUUCGCAUUCCUUUUCUUUGAACUGGGUUAUUUAUUGGAUCCGGAUCUUU
This 7338-nucleotide long non-coding RNA is filed under the name Capsicum annuum. Its description in RNAcentral is "long non-coding RNA (CANN_LNC002626)". The record is from RNAcentral. Lineage: Eukaryota; Viridiplantae; Streptophyta; Magnoliopsida; Solanales; Solanaceae.